Molecule: ribosomal RNA, 678 nt
Filed under: uncultured crenarchaeote
Lineage: Archaea; Thermoproteati; Thermoproteota
Description: bacterial SSU rRNA
Rfam family: Archaeal small subunit ribosomal RNA
Source: RNAcentral
AGUCAACAUGCCCAGGGGACGUGGAUAACCUCGGGAAACUGAGGAUAAACCGCGAUAGGUCAUCACUUCUGGAAUGGGUAAUGACUUAAACCUAUAUGGCCCCUGGAUUGGACUGCGGCCGAUCAGGCUGUUGGUGAGGUAAUGGCCCACCAAACCUGUAACCGGCACGGGCUCUGAGAGGAGGAGCCCGGAGAUGGGCACUGAGACAAGGGCCCAGGCCCUAUGGGGCGCAGCAGGCGCGAAACCUCUGCAAUAGGCGAAAGCUUGACAGGGUUACUCUGAGUGAUUUCCGUUAAGGAGAUCUUUUGGCACCUCUAAAAAUGGUGCAGAAUAAGGGGUGGGCAAGUCUGGUGUCAGCCGCCGCGGUAAUACCAGCACCCCGAGUGGUCGGGACGUUUAUUGGGCCUAAAGCAUCCGUAGCCGGUUCUACAAGUCUUCCGUUAAAUCCACCUGCUUAACAGAUGGGCUGCGGAAGAUACUAUAGAGCUAGGAGGCGGGAGAGGCAAGCGGUACUCGAUGGGUAGGGGUAAAAUCCGUUGAUCCAUUGAAGACCACCAGUGGCGAAGGCGGCUUGCCAGAACGCGCUCGACGGUGAGGGAUGAAAGCUGGGGGAGCAAACCGGAUUAGAUACCCGGGUAGUCCCAGCUGUAAACGAUGCAGACUCGGUGAUGAGUUGGC